RNAcentral lists this ribosomal RNA (445 nucleotides) under uncultured bacterium. Its description in RNAcentral is "partial 16S ribosomal RNA". It matches the Rfam family "Bacterial small subunit ribosomal RNA", at positions 354 to 796 of the family's 1533-position model. The record is from RNAcentral.
GUGAGGAAUAUUGGUCAAUGGACGAGAGUCUGAACCAGCCAAGUCGCGUGAAGGAAGACGGUUCUAUGAAUUGUAAACUUCUUUUGUGCAGGAAUAAAGUGGGUUACGUGUAACCUUUUGUAUGUACUGUACGAAUAAGGAUCGGCUAACUCCGUGCCAGCAGCCGCGGUAAUACGGAGGAUCCGAGCGUUAUCCGGAUUUAUUGGGUUUAAAGGGUGCGUAGGUGGAUUGAUAAGUCAGCGGUGAAAGUUUGCAGCUUAACUGUAAAAUUGCCGUUGAAACUGUCGGUCUUGAGUGCAAAUGAGGUAGGCGGAAUGUGUUGUGUAGCGGUGAAAUGCUUAGAUAUAACACAGAACUCCGAUUGCGAAGGCAGCUUACCGGGAUGCAACUGACACUGAUGCACGAAAGCGUGGGUAUCAAACAGGAUUAGAUACCCGAGUAGUCC